RNAcentral lists this non-coding RNA (79 nucleotides) under Roseovarius litorisediminis. Lineage: Bacteria; Pseudomonadati; Pseudomonadota; Alphaproteobacteria; Rhodobacterales; Roseobacteraceae. The record is from RNAcentral.
AAGCAGGGAUGUGGCGAUUUGUUACCGGAUUGCGGGCCACGUAAAAUAAUACCGCUAAAGAGGUCAGGAUGAGGGACCC